CACCUCCACCAUCCCUAGCCCCAUUUCCCUACAGCAGGCCAUGUACCCCAUCCACCACCCCCCAGCCCCAGUCCCCACACACCCAUAUAGACCUCUUUUCUUGCACCCAUAUCACACCUCCACCCAACCUAACAACUGUACACAGCAGGCCUCAUCCUAAAGUCCCAAUGCAAUACUUCCAACAGCCCAUUCCACUGAUUCCAGGCCUGUUCUGUAGACCCAACAUCACACCUCCACCGGAUCCAAUACCAGCAGGCUGUCUGCCCAGAUCUGUGCCUGAGAUCAGGGGGUGCCUCUCUAUAGACCAACUCUCUAUAGUAGUCUUUUCACUCCAGGGGUUUAGUUCAUACAGUGCUACUGUAGGUCAGAACACUCCAGGGGUUUAGUUCAUACAGUGCUACUGUAGGUCAGAACACUGGCUGCUAUGCAUGUCGGAGAAAUACAUACAAGACUAGAAGGAAUGCACAAGUGCCAAAGCACUAGUUGCUAUGUAGAUAUUAGAUGUAUAUUAUAUGAAAGGAAACAUGAUUUACAGUAUAGGUAAAGGCAUCUGGGUCAGGUGCGUUAUAGCUACUCACCAGAUUGCUAAUUGUACCAAAUUUUACCAGAAUGCACAGGCUUCCUUGCCCUGCUAAUAACGUUCAAACCAAGUUGAAAUAAAAUGUGUGGUAAUUUAGCAUGCUGGUGAGCGGAGUACAGAAAUGGCCAAUAGCAUAAUGUUGUGAACACACUUUUUUGAACUGGACGUUAGGCCCUUUUAUUGUGAAGAUGUGAUCUGCUGUUGAAACCUGGAAAUGACUCUUUCAAAGACUGUUAUCGCACUUUUUUAUAUUCUGAAGCUCUGUUUUGUUUAACUGUUUGGAGAUAACAAAGUACAAGGUCCAAAUUGAACUAAGUACAAGAUGUCCACCUUCUAUUGAGAAGUAAAGGGGGAACCAUCGGUCCUACAUCAGAAUGCCAAAACAGCAUCAAAACAGCCCCAGUAGUUCUGUUGGUACUGUCCAGUCCUCUGCCAGGUCCCCCAUCUACACAAUGAAGUGGUCUUGAGUCUUGUCUUCUGAUUGAAGACCACCAGUCAGUAGAAAUACAGAUAUGGCUAGAAAAGAUGUAAAGAAAGAAAGACAACAGUUAAACAGAGAAAAUGUGACACAUGAUCAUUUUUUAGUCUGAGUCUGUUUGUGAAAAGACUAUCAGCUCUGUGUUCGUGUAUAUGUGUGUAUUUGUCUGUGUGAGUGUGUGUCUCUCUCUCUGUGUGCGUGCCUCGUCCCCUCUACUCCCAUCCCUCUCGCUCAGGGUCCCAUAUGUAGUGGUCUAAUCGUGCAGGGUAACUUGUCCCUCUCUCAGCAGCAACAGACCUGACGGUGGGGAAGAUCUACGCUGCCAUGAUGAUUAUGGAGUACUACAGGCAGAGCAAGGCCAAGCGCUCUCAGGCGCGUCUAGAGGCGGAGCAGGUACAACUACUGUCCCUAGGAACCAUCCCCAAACCUUCAGACAACGCAGACUGACUGAGGGCAGAGUCAGACUGACUAGAAAUACUGCUGUGCUGUUAGUACAGGGGUCAAAGCGGAGCUGUGACAACCCAUAACCACACCCAUCCACAGUCUUACUAUAGCAUUUACUUACUACGUUAUUGUAAGGUCACUUGUUAUCAUUGACCUCACCUGGCUAAUGGUUAGAGGUCAAAGGUUAGAGGACCACUGCCAUUGGGUUUACCCACUCUAGUCUUGUCUCUCAGUGUUCUUCCAUCCUCCCUUCCUUCCUAUCUAUCUCUGCAGUUAGUCGGUAUAAAACUCUGUGAGGCCCUCUGGUGGACAAAGUAUGUCACUGGUCCAUGUUAUAUUACUGUAAAUUCCAGACUAUAAGCCGCAACUUUUUUCCCAGAUUUGAACCUCGCGGCUUAAACAAUGACGCGGCUAAUAUAUGGAUUUUUCCCGCUUUCAAUUUUUUUUUUCCAAAAAAACACAUUCUGUGACGUGCUCAGUUUUUUGACGGCAUGAAGCUUUCAUUAGACCAAUGUAAUUGCCGAACGGGUUAACGUCAAACAACUUUUUUGUUUACUGUUUAGAUUAAAUCGAGCGCUCUCAAACUUCCCAUCAUUCUGAUUACAGUAGUCAUUUUGUCACCCUCAUCAUGGCAAAGACAUGCAUAUGAAAUGCAUAUGAUGCAGCUUCCAAGUUGAAGGCGAUUGAUCUGGCUGUUAGAAAAGGAAAUAGAGCUGCUGCACGGGAGCUUGGUCUUAAUGAGUCGUUGAUAAGACGUUGGAAACAGCAGCGUGAGGAAUUGACUCAGUGCAAAAAGACAACUAAAGCUUACUGC
RNAcentral lists this long non-coding RNA (2316 nucleotides) under Salmo salar (Atlantic salmon). RNAcentral describes it as "lncRNA (ENSSSAG00000092921.1)". Lineage: Eukaryota; Metazoa; Chordata; Actinopteri; Salmoniformes; Salmonidae. The record is from RNAcentral.